UCNCCUGGUUGAAAAGGAAGCCCUAG
This 26-nucleotide non-coding RNA is filed under the name Mus musculus (house mouse). The record is from RNAcentral. Lineage: Eukaryota; Metazoa; Chordata; Mammalia; Rodentia; Muridae.